GAUGAACGCUAGCGGCAGGCUUAAUACAUGCAAGUCGAGGGGGAUCAGUUGGGUAGCAAUACCUGGCUGUGAGACCGGCAAACGGGUGAGGAACACGUACGCAACUUUCCCAAAACUGGUGAAUAGCCCUCCGAAAGGAGGAUUAAUACACCGUAACAUAACGAAAUGGCAUCAUUUUGUUAUUAUAGCUCCGGCGGUUUUGGAUGGGCGUGCGCCUGAUUAGGUAGUUGGCGGGGUAACGGCCCACCAAGCCUACGAUCAGUAACUGGUGUGAGAGCACGACCAGUCACACGGGCACUGAGACACGGGCCCGACUCCUACGGGAGGCAGCAGUAAGGAAUAUUGGUCAAUGGACGAAAGUCUGAACCAGCCAUGCCGCGUGAAGGAUGAAGGCCCUCUGGGUUGUAAACUUCUUUUAUAGGGGACGAAAAAAGGGAAUUCUUUCCCACUUGACGGUACCCUAGGAAUAAGCACCGGCUAACUCCGUG
This 488-nucleotide ribosomal RNA is filed under the name uncultured bacterium. Its description in RNAcentral is "bacterial SSU rRNA". It matches the Rfam family "Bacterial small subunit ribosomal RNA", at positions 28 to 507 of the family's 1533-position model. The record is from RNAcentral.